RNAcentral lists this transfer RNA (72 nucleotides) under Flavobacteriaceae bacterium. Its description in RNAcentral is "tRNA-Thr". It matches the Rfam family "tRNA". Rfam says of the family: Transfer RNA (tRNA) molecules are approximately 80 nucleotides in length. Their secondary structure includes four short double-helical elements and three loops (D, anti-codon, and T loops). The record is from RNAcentral. Lineage: Bacteria; Pseudomonadati; Bacteroidota; Flavobacteriia; Flavobacteriales; Flavobacteriaceae.
GCCGAUAUAGCUCAGGGGUAGAGCGUUUCCUUGGUAAGGAAGAGGUCCCGAUUUCGACUAUCGGUAUCGGCU